Long non-coding RNA from Maniola jurtina (meadow brown), 217 nucleotides. RefSeq lists it as uncharacterized. Lineage: Eukaryota; Metazoa; Arthropoda; Insecta; Lepidoptera; Nymphalidae. The record is from RefSeq and is a predicted model, not a curated record. The transcript is spliced from 3 exons.
UUCAGAAUGGAGAUAUCGAAUCACCCCGGUCUGAACACAAGCUGAGCGGCCUGUCUAUUUGAGGCAUUAGACCAAUCAGCACCUAAGUAGGUACCUAAGUAAUAUUUAGGAAAAAAAUCGGGCAGAGCCCGACAAAGAUUUUUUCAUUCUAUUAUUUUUAAUGUAGUAUAUAUAGUAAGCGUGCUGGCGAAUUCCGGAUAGAUAUGAAAGAUUAUAU